GGCGGAUGUAGCCAAGGGGAUCAAGGCAGUGG
This 32-nucleotide transfer RNA is filed under the name Compsoneura ulei. RNAcentral describes it as "partial tRNA-His". The record is from RNAcentral. Lineage: Eukaryota; Viridiplantae; Streptophyta; Magnoliopsida; Magnoliales; Myristicaceae.